CCUACGGGGGGCAGCAGUGGGGAAUAUUGGACAAUGGGCGAAAGCCUGAUCCAGCCAUGCCGCGUGUGUGAAGAAGGCCUUCGGGUUGUAAAGCACUUUCAGUGGGGAAGAAAGCCUAGGGGCUAAUACCCUCGAGGAAGGACAUCACCCACAGAAGAAGCACCGGCUAACUCCGUGCCAGCAGCCGCGGUAAUACGGAGGGUGCGAGCGUUAAUCGGAAUUACUGGGCGUAAAGCGCGCGUAGGCGGUCUGAUAAGCCGGUUGUGAAAGCCCCGGGCUCAACCUGGGAACGGCAUCCGGAACUGUCAGGCUAGAGUGCAGGAGAGGAAGGUAGAAUUCCCGGUGUAGCGGUGAAAUGCGUAGAGAUCGGGAGGAAUACCAGUGGCGAAGGCGGCCUUCUGGACUGACACUGACGCUGAGGUGCGAAAGCGUGGGUAGCAAACAGGAUUAGAUACCCUAGUAGUC
RNAcentral lists this ribosomal RNA (465 nucleotides) under Vreelandella stevensii. Its description in RNAcentral is "partial 16S ribosomal RNA". It matches the Rfam family "Bacterial small subunit ribosomal RNA", at positions 338 to 795 of the family's 1533-position model. The record is from RNAcentral. Lineage: Bacteria; Pseudomonadati; Pseudomonadota; Gammaproteobacteria; Oceanospirillales; Halomonadaceae.